Molecule: long non-coding RNA, 309 nt
Organism: Athene cunicularia (burrowing owl)
Lineage: Eukaryota; Metazoa; Chordata; Aves; Strigiformes; Strigidae
Exons: 3
Source: RefSeq, a predicted model, not a curated record
AGAGAAGUUCAUACGGGUGGAAUAACCGAGUGGGGAGCACUGGUUAAUGAUGGCGUUGAGAGUGAUGCGCAGUGCAACAUUUGUAGCACACCAAUUAUCUUUGCCGUUGUCACUGCCUAAUUGGGAUAAACCAUUUAGAGCGAAAGAUUAGAAGUGAUACAUCAGAGAUCCUGGAUGAGACCAUUCCGCUCAUUAAAGACAAGGUGAUGGAAAUGAACCACAUCUAUGCCAAAGUCGAUAAAUUAGAGUUGGCUUUCCCUUAUGGCUCAAAUUGCAACUGAAGCUGAACACAUGUAAGUUUUAGGUCAA